CCCCGUGUGGCUCAGUUGGUAGAGCAUGGUGUUUGCAACGCCAGGGUUGUGAGUUCGAUUCCCACGGGGG
RNAcentral lists this transfer RNA (70 nucleotides) under Salmo salar (Atlantic salmon). It matches the Rfam family "tRNA". From Rfam's summary of the family: Transfer RNA (tRNA) molecules are approximately 80 nucleotides in length. Their secondary structure includes four short double-helical elements and three loops (D, anti-codon, and T loops). Further hydrogen bonds mediate the characteristic L-shaped molecular structure. tRNAs have two regions of fundamental functional importance: the anti-codon, which is responsible for specific mRNA codon recognition, and the 3' end, to which the tRNAs corresponding amino acid is attached (by aminoacyl-tRNA synthetases). tRNAs cope with the degeneracy of the genetic code in two manners: having more than one tRNA (with a specific anti-codon) for a particular amino acid; and 'wobble' base-pairing, i.e. permitting non-standard base-pairing at the 3rd anti-codon position. Lineage: Eukaryota; Metazoa; Chordata; Actinopteri; Salmoniformes; Salmonidae. RNAcentral also lists the same sequence under 1 other name. The record is from Rfam by way of RNAcentral.